Molecule: transfer RNA, 71 nt
Filed under: Epinephelus ongus (white-streaked grouper)
Lineage: Eukaryota; Metazoa; Chordata; Actinopteri; Perciformes; Serranidae
Description: tRNA-Val
Rfam family: tRNA
About the family: Transfer RNA (tRNA) molecules are approximately 80 nucleotides in length.
Source: RNAcentral
CAGGGUAUAGUUUAACAGCAGAACACCUUCCUUACGCGGAGGAAACACUCAUUCAAAUUGAGUUGCCCUGA